This 231-nucleotide ribosomal RNA is filed under the name uncultured bacterium. Its description in RNAcentral is "partial 16S ribosomal RNA". It matches the Rfam family "Bacterial small subunit ribosomal RNA", at positions 103 to 334 of the family's 1533-position model. The record is from RNAcentral.
CGGGCGAGUAACGCGUGGAUAACCUGCCUCACACUGGGGGAUAACAGUUAGAAAUGACUGCUAAUACCGCAUAAGCGCACAGUACCGCAUGGUACAGUGUGAAAAACUCCGGUGGUGUGAGAUGGAUCCGCGUCUGAUUAGCCAGUUGGCGGGGUAACGGCCCACCAAAGCGACGAUCAGUAGCCGACCUGAGAGGGUGACCGGCCACAUUGGGACUGAGACACGGCCCAA